RNAcentral lists this ribosomal RNA (268 nucleotides) under uncultured bacterium. Its description in RNAcentral is "partial 16S ribosomal RNA". The record is from RNAcentral.
CUGCUGCCUUCCGUAGGAGUUUGGUCCGUGUCUCAGUACCAAUGUGGGGGGGUUAACCUCUCAGUCCCCCUAUGUAUCGUCGCCUUGGUGAGCCGUUACCUCACCAACUAGCUAAUACAACGCAUGCCCAUCUUUUACCACCGGAGUUUUCAACCCAAAACGAUGCCGUCUCAGAUAUUAUGGGGAAUUAGUACCAACUUCUCAGUGUUAUGCCCCUGUAAAAGGUAGGUUGCAUACGCGUUACGCACCCGUGCGCCGGUCGCCAUCA